RNAcentral lists this transfer RNA (93 nucleotides) under Lepisosteus oculatus (spotted gar). It matches the Rfam family "tRNA". From Rfam's summary of the family: Transfer RNA (tRNA) molecules are approximately 80 nucleotides in length. The record is from Rfam by way of RNAcentral. Lineage: Eukaryota; Metazoa; Chordata; Actinopteri; Semionotiformes; Lepisosteidae.
CUCUCUGUGGCGCAAUGGAUAGUGCAUUGGACUUUAAGAUGUUGACUGAGUGAAGUCAUUCAAAGGUUGUGGGUUUGAGUCCCACCAGAGUCA